Molecule: ribosomal RNA, 418 nt
Filed under: Fusarium mangiferae
Lineage: Eukaryota; Fungi; Ascomycota; Sordariomycetes; Hypocreales; Nectriaceae
Description: LSU rRNA
Rfam family: Eukaryotic large subunit ribosomal RNA
Source: RNAcentral
CCAACAGGGAUUGCCCUAGUAACGGCGAGUGAAGCGGCAACAGCUCAAAUUUGAAAUCUGGCUCUCGGGCCCGAGUUGUAAUUUGUAGAGGAUACUUUUGAUGCGGUGCCUUCCGAGUUCCCUGGAACGGGACGCCAUAGAGGGUGAGAGCCCCGUCUGGUUGGAUGCCAAAUCUCUGUAAAGUUCCUUCGACGAGUCGAGUAGUUUGGGAAUGCUGCUCUAAAUGGGAGGAAUAUGUCUUCUAAAGCUAAAUACCGGCCAGAGACCGAUAGCGCACAAGUAGAGUGAUCGAAAGAUGAAAAGCACUUUGAAAAGAGAGUUAAAAAGUACGUGAAAUUGUUGAAAGGGAAGCGUUUAUGACCAGACUUGGGCUUGGUUAAUCAUCUGGGGUUCUCCCCAGUGCACUUUUCCAGUCCAG